AAUUCUCAAAAACCUUUCUUUUUGAAAGGGUUUUGGACUUGGAGGCUCUUUGCUGGCUUUUGCCGGCUCCUCUCAAAUGAAUUAGUGGGGUCCGCUUUGUCGAUCCUUGACGUGAUAAGAUGUUUCUACGUCUCGGGUUUGGCGAUGCCUCUUGGGCACCUGCUUCCAACCGUCUCAUGGACAAUGAUGGUGUUCCGGUCACCGCCGUUUCAUCGGUCGGGAGGCUUGACCCACCAACAAAAC
RNAcentral lists this unclassified non-coding RNA (243 nucleotides) under Russula queletii. Its description in RNAcentral is "partial internal transcribed spacer 2". The record is from RNAcentral. Lineage: Eukaryota; Fungi; Basidiomycota; Agaricomycetes; Russulales; Russulaceae.